RNAcentral lists this ribosomal RNA (253 nucleotides) under uncultured bacterium. RNAcentral's name for it is "partial 16S ribosomal RNA". It matches the Rfam family "Bacterial small subunit ribosomal RNA", at positions 524 to 776 of the family's 1533-position model. The record is from RNAcentral.
UACGUAGGGGGCAAGCGUUGUCCGGAAUCAUUGGGCGUAAAGAGCGUGUAGGCGGUCCGGUAAGUCCGCUGUGAAAGUCGGGGGCUCAACCCUCGAAUGCCGGUGGAUACUGUCGGGCUAGAGUGCGGAGGAGGCGAGUGGAAUUCCUGGUGUAGCGGUGAAAUGCGCAGAUAUCAGGAGGAACACCUAUUGCGAAGGCAGCUCGCUGGGACGUAACUGACGCUGAGACGCGAAAGCGUGGGGAGCAAACAGG